Molecule: ribosomal RNA, 467 nt
Filed under: uncultured bacterium
Lineage: Bacteria
Description: bacterial SSU rRNA
Rfam family: Bacterial small subunit ribosomal RNA
Source: RNAcentral
UAGGGAAUAUUGGGCAAUGGAGGGAACUCUGACCCAGCCAUGCCGCGUGCAGGAUGAAGGCGUUAUGCGUUGUAAACUGCUUUUUAUAUAGGAAGAAAUAGUCCUUGCGAGGAAAGUUGACGGUACUAUAUGAAUAAGCACCGGCUAACUCCGUGCCAGCAGCCGCGGUAAUACGGAGGGUGCAAGCGUUGUCCGGAUUUAUUGGGUUUAAAGGGUGCGUAGGUGGCCCUGUAAGUCAGUGGUGAAAUAUCUCAGCUUAACUGAGAGGGUGCCAUUGAUACUGCAGGGCUUGAGUACAGAUGAGGUAGGCGGAAUUGACGGUGUAGCGGUGAAAUGCAUAGAUAUCGUCAAGAACACCGAUAGCGAAGGCAGCUUACCAAGCUGUAACUGACACUGAGGCACGAAAGUGUGGGGAUCAAACAGGAUUAGAUACCCACGUAGUCCCUGAGCGGGCUGGCAAGGCGCAU